Molecule: long non-coding RNA, 437 nt
Organism: Dunckerocampus dactyliophorus (ringed pipefish)
Lineage: Eukaryota; Metazoa; Chordata; Actinopteri; Syngnathiformes; Syngnathidae
Exons: 3
Source: RefSeq, a predicted model, not a curated record
UAGCAACUUACGACUCUGGUUGCCAUUUUGUUCGCUAGAUAAUAGGACGCUAAAAUCGAAGUGCGUUUUCUGAUGAAAAAAUACGAAUACAGAUGGACUCACGCAGUGUAUUGAAAACAUGGAAUUUUGCGUACCAUACUAUACGCUAACCGGAGAAUACAGGGCUUGCACCUCGCCACUGGUUAGGGAGGACUCCACCAGCACGAGUCCUUCACUGACGUCCACGCGGACAGAGUGCACGCCUGAAACAUCAAAAGAUGACUUUUACUUUAAAAAAAAAGCAGCUCUGACUUGGUCUCCACAGCCCUCACACGUCAUCUGCACUGCAAACUCCAGCUGAGGACAACAUGAACGUCAAACUACUUCAACCACAUGCUGCUGGCUAAACGGCUAGCUAGCUUUUAACACAUUUCCUGUAAAUAAAGGUGUGAGUGUCA